CACUGGCUGAAAUUACAUUAGAGAGGAAAGAGGAACUCAGUAUCUGUGAAUCUUUUGGUGUUUUUUUCCAUUUUACUUGAUGUGAAUUACUUUGGACAAGCUCCAGGGAAACUCUGCAUCUUUGGCCUUACCUGGUGUAUGCUACCAUGUUCAGCUUAUGAUGGCCUAUGGAUGGAACUCGGGGCUACCUGCAUGGAGGCCCCAGCUGCCUGCUUGUUCAUGCCUCAGGAGCAACAGUGCCUUUGUGCCAUUUGAAGUCUUUCAUUUUCCUUUUUGAAAAGAAAUGAAAUCUAAGCCAACAUCCUGUCUCCUGCUAUCAGCUUCCUACCGAAGUGCAACAGCAAGCGGCAGGAAGUCUAUGAAUCUGCAUCAUUUGAAAGACUCCAGGAGUUCCAGGAAUUUGUCUUGAGGCUAGCCAGAUGGCUCAGUGUGUAAAAGAGCUUGCCAUCAGACCUGAUGACCUCAGUUUGAUCCCCAACAUCUACAUGGUGGAAGGAGAGAUAUGACUCCGGCUAGCUGUCAUUUUACUUCCACACCCAUGCUUUCUUGUAUGUGCAAAUCUCUCACCCACAAAUAAAUGAUU
This is a long non-coding RNA of Mesocricetus auratus (golden hamster), 583 nucleotides long. RefSeq lists it as uncharacterized. The record is from RefSeq and is a predicted model, not a curated record. Lineage: Eukaryota; Metazoa; Chordata; Mammalia; Rodentia; Cricetidae. The transcript is spliced from 4 exons.